GAAACGACUGCUAAGACUGGAUAGGAAGCGGGGAGGCCUCUCGCCGCUUUUAAAAGACCUAGUUUCUAGGUAUGCUUAAGGAGGGGCUUGCGCCAUAUUAGUUAGUUGGUAGGGUAACGGCCUCCCAAGACGAUGAUGUGUAGCUGGACUGAGAGGUUGAACGGCCACAUUGGGACUGAGAUACGGCCCAAACUCCUACGGGAGGCAGCAGUAGGGAAUUUUCGGCAAUGGAGGCAACUCUGACCGAGCAACGCCGCGUGAACGAUGAAGUACUUCGGUAUGUAAAGUUCUUUUAUUAAGGAAGAAAACAGCCCGGCGAACCGGGCUUUUGACGGUACUUAAGGAAUCAGCCCCGGCUAAUUAUGUGCCAGCAGCCGCGGUAAUACAUAAGGGGCGAGUGUUAUCCGGAAUUAUUGGGCGUAAAGGGUGCGUAGGCGGUGAAGUUAGUCAAUGGUGUAAUGGCAGCGCUUAACGGUGUCCGGCUAUUGAAACUGCUUCACUCGAGUGAGAUAGAGGCGAGUGGAAUUCCAUGUGUAGCGGUAAAAUGUGUAAAUAUAUGGAGGAACACCAGAGGCGUAGGCGGCUCGCUGGGUCUUGACUGACGCUGAGGCACGAAAGCGUGGGGAGCAAACAGGAUUAGAUACCCUGGUAGUCCACGCCGUAAACGAUGAGUACUAAGUGUCGGGUUCCCCCGGUACUGAAGUUAACACAUUAAGUACUCCGCCUGAGUAGUACGUACGCAAGUAUGAAACUUAAAGGAAUUGACGGGACUCCGCACAAGCGGUGGAUCAUGUUGUUUAAUUCGAAGAUACGCGAAAAACCUUACCAGGCCUUGACAUGUUCGUGCAAUGCAGUAGUAAUAUUGCGGAGGUUAUCACGAUCACAGGUGGUGCAUGGUUGUCGUCAGCUCGUGUCGUGAGAUGUUAGGUUAAGUCCUAAAACGAGCGAAACCCUUGUCAUUAGUUGCCAGCAUGUUAAGAUGGGGACUCUAAUGAGACUGCCAGUGACAAACUGGAGGAAGGUGGGGAUUACGUCAAAUCAGCAUGCCCCUUAUGGCCUGGGCUACAAACGUGAUACAAUGGCUGUGACAAAGAGUAGCUGAAACGCGAGUUUUUAGCCAAUCUCAAAAACGCAGUCUCAGUUCGGAUUGAAGUCUGCAACUCGACUUCAUGAAGUUGGAAUCGCUAGUAAUCGCGAAUCAGCAUGUCGCGGUGAAUACGUUCACGGGGUUUGUACACACCGCCCGUCA
Molecule: ribosomal RNA, 1249 nt
Filed under: 'Ligustrum ovalifolium' phytoplasma
Lineage: Bacteria; Bacillati; Mycoplasmatota; Mollicutes; Acholeplasmatales; Acholeplasmataceae
Description: bacterial SSU rRNA
Rfam family: Bacterial small subunit ribosomal RNA
Source: RNAcentral